RNAcentral lists this transfer RNA (76 nucleotides) under Brevibacillus gelatini. RNAcentral describes it as "tRNA-Met". Lineage: Bacteria; Bacillati; Bacillota; Bacilli; Caryophanales; Paenibacillaceae. The record is from RNAcentral.
GGAUCUGUAGCUCAAUUGGCAGAGCAAGCUGCUCAUAACAGCGAGGUUGCAGGAUCAUACCCUGUCAGAUCCACCA